AAUGAACGUUGGCGGCAUGGAUUAGGCAUGCAAGUCGAGCGAGAAGAGUUUUGAAGCUUGCUUUAGAACUCGGACAGCGGCGAAAGGGAGAGUAACGCGUAGUUAUGCGCCCUAGGGUCCGGAAUAGCCACGGGAAACUGUGGGUAAUGCCGGAUAAUAUCCCCGGAUCAAAGGUGUGAUUCCGCCCUAGGAGCAGACUGCGUCCUACUAGGUAGUUGGUGGGGUAAUGGCCUACCAAGGCAACGAUGGGUAGCGGGUGUGAGAGCAUGACCCGUCUCACUGGGACUGAGACACUGCCCAGACACCUACGGGUGGCUGCCGUCGAGAAUCUUCGGCAAUGGGCGAAAUCCUGACCGAGCGAUGCCGCGUGCGGGAUGAAGGCCCUCGGGUUGUAAACCGCUGUCGUAGGGGAGGAAGGUUCCGUGAAGAGCGGAAUUUGACCUAUCCUAGGAGGAAGUACGGGCUAAGUUCGUGCCAGCAGCCGCCGUAA
Molecule: ribosomal RNA, 490 nt
Filed under: uncultured bacterium
Lineage: Bacteria
Description: partial 16S ribosomal RNA
Rfam family: Bacterial small subunit ribosomal RNA
Source: RNAcentral